CCUACGGGAGGCAGCAGUGGGGAAUUUUGGACAAUGGGCGCAAGCCUGAUCCAGCCAUGCCGCGUGUGGGAAGAAGGCCUUCGGGUUGUAAACCACUUUUGUCAGGGAAGAAACGGUCUGAACUAAUACUUUGGACUAAUGACGGUACCUGAAGAAUAAGCACCGGCUAACUACGUGCCAGCAGCCGCGGUAAUACGUAGGGUGCAAGCGUUAAUCGGAAUUACUGGGCGUAAAGCGUGCGCAGGCGGCUUUGCAAGACAGAUGUGAAAUCCCCGGGGCUCAACCUGGGAACUGCAUUUGUGACUGCAUGGCUAGAGUACGGUAGAGGGGGAUGGAAUUCCGCGUGUAGCAGUGAAACUGCGUAGAUAUGCGGAGGAACACCGAUGGCGAAGGCAAUCCCCUGGACCUGUACUGACGCUCAUGCACGAAACGCGUGGGGAGCAAACAGGAUUAGAUACCCUGGUAGUCCACGCCCUAAACGAUGUCAACUGGUUGUUGGGAGGGUUUCUCUCAGUACGAAGCUAACGCGUGAGUUGACGCNGGGGAGUCGGCGNGAAGUUGAACUUAAGGAUUG
Molecule: ribosomal RNA, 574 nt
Filed under: uncultured bacterium
Lineage: Bacteria
Description: bacterial SSU rRNA
Rfam family: Bacterial small subunit ribosomal RNA
Source: RNAcentral